Aethalodelphis obliquidens (Pacific white-sided dolphin) is the source of this 4056-nucleotide long non-coding RNA. RefSeq lists it as uncharacterized. The record is from RefSeq and is a predicted model, not a curated record. The transcript has 4 exons. NCBI's taxonomy places the organism in Eukaryota, Metazoa, Chordata, Mammalia, Artiodactyla, Delphinidae.
ACCUGUUUCCACCGGCACACACGCUCACACUCACAUUUGCACCAACACAGGCUUGAACACACUGGCGUUCGCUCACACACACUCACACCCUCCCCCUGCCCUGACGCCACCCCUCCCACUCAAGGCCUGGUGCCCCUCCCUGUCUUCUGUGCCCAUGAAAGGCCAGCCGUCUGGUGCCCUCUGACCCUGGCCUGACUCAGAAACGAGUCAUCGACAGCCCCGCUUGCCCUCCCACCCAAGGAAGGCCGCCCAGUGCCCGGGAUCUGCAGGACGUUGGGCCACGUCCUGUCCAGCUGGCCACUGGCCAUUCGGGACAGGGGGGCAGUGACUCCACCUCAGGAUAGGAGGGACCCCAAAUCCCGGAGCCCAGCCUUGGAGAACUGUCAGGGCACACACAGACCCUGAGGGGGUCCCAGAGCACAGGUUAUGCUGGGCAGGAGCCGGGGGGGUGGGCCAAGGUGAGGCUUGAGGGGCACAGGGGUGAGGGUAGGAGGGGCUGGGGUGGGGCUGGAGGGGACCCUCCUCCCCUCCUCUGAAACCCCCAAGGCAGACCCAGGCCUCAACCCAGAGCCCAGAAGGGGCCUCUCCUCCCGUCCAAGCCAUCCAGAUCCCUGUGCUCACAUCUGCCCUGGGGCGGGGCUCCCUCGGAGAGCUCAGGCCCUGCGCGCCAUUGGUGGAGGUCAGCAGCUGGUGGCCACUUGGAGGCCACGGUGACCGAAGGAGGGGCUGAGAGGCUCCCUGGACCCCAGGGCUCUGGCAUCCCUGAACGAGACCCAAGGGCACGCAGUGUUUCUGGGCAGGUGUGUGAUGGAAGGGGUCCCCGCAUUAGAUAGCAGUGGUCACCAGGGAGGGGCGGCAGCUGCGCAGCCCUGUGCCUGCCCCCAGCUUGGUCCCCCUCUGCGCCCGGCCCCCCACUCUUCUGUAGGGGGCCUGAGCCAGCUGUGAGUCAGGGAGGAUGGUUGGGGUCCGGGGUGGGGGGAUGGAGGCGCCCACCAGGUGAUGCCCCAGCAGGCCAGAGGGUGGCCCGGGCCCCUCUGUGGGAUGUGCCUUGGGUGGGGGCACCUGGGGACCAACGUCUCCAGGCUCUGGGGGGCACCAGUCGCUGGGCCGCCACUGUGGGCAGGGAUCCGGGUGAGGGGCUGGACCACGUGGGGGUCCAGCGUCCUGGGAGCUGGGUAAGAGCUGGUCGCAGGCUGGUGCCGGCCGCUCGGAGAUGCCGUCCCGUGUCCCCGAGAGCCCGGGGCGACCCGGAUGACGCCAGCCCAGGCCAGAGGCCGCUGCAGGGGGCAGAAAGCCUGCUCCAGAGAGAGGCGGGCAGCCUGGACUUGGGAAGGGGCUCGGGGUGUGGGUGAUGGGAGGUUAUGGGCAGGGGGGAGCGGGCGGCCCCAAGCCCGGGGGUGAGGGCAGCAGCGGCCGCCACCCAAACCUGGGAAAUGUUCCGCUUCACGCAAGGACCUGGGAGCUUCUGAAGCGGGAAGGGGCACUGUGGCCCCCAGGGGACUGUCCGCAGGGGCCCCGUCCUGGGCGGCGAGCCUCCAGAACCGGCCCCUGGCAGCACCCACAGGCAGUGGGCUGCCUCGGAGGCUGUGGGGAGCCCCCUGGCCCCCACCAGGACAUGCCCCCUCUGGUGGGUUUCUCUCCGGGCCACCUGGAACAAGGGUCUGGCGACCAUGACCCCAGCCCCACCCUGGGCGCCCUCAGCCUGAUCUGAAGGGCCGGGCUUGGCCUCCGUCUCAAUGCGUCCAUUUCCUCCACAGCUGGGGGACCCGAGAGAUGGGGGUGGGGACACAGCGGCCACCCCAGGUCCCAUAAGGAGGCGGAUAGCGCUAUCAAAGGCUCAGGGUGGCAGCGUCCGGGCUAAAGCAGGUCCCCUUGAAUUGAAGCCAAUCCACAGGAGUGGGACAGGAAAUGCUUUUUCAUGGCCGUGACCCGCGGGCAGGGGGCCUGUCCUUCCCCCCUCCCCCCGGGAUGCUUUCCCAAACUAGGUUCUCAGGUGCCAAGUAAGAGAAGAGGGCUUCUCCCGGUGAGCACGCGCACCCGCCCCCGACGUUUCGUCUUCCGCGCGUCCCUCUGGUGGUGGGUAUAUAAGGCAGCAGCAACGGGGGGGGGCGGUCCCCUCGAGGGAGCCUGGGCCUCCCUGGGGCUGGGUAGAAACGCAGCACCUGGGGUCCCACCCCGAUCUGCUGAGCCAGACUCUGCUCUUGACAGAGAGCUGGGGCCCACGCGCCCAAGGAUGGACACCCAGGAAGCGUCCAGCGGCACUGCCGCCUCGGCGCAGGGACGCCCACGCACGCCCAUGCCAGCUCUUUCCCCAGCCCGCCUUCUCCGAGCUUGGCAGACCUGAGGGCGCAUCCCAGCGGGAGUGCCAGCCCCGCCUGCUCCCCAUGUUGCAUUUCUAGCUGCACCCAGGGGUGCGGCGGCCUCUCAGCGCAGCCCGAGGGCGUGGAUACAGGAGCUCCACUUCUGUGUCUGGAUCCAAGAACAGCUGGCUUUACACUGAGAAUCAAAGGACAGGGCAGGGCAGAGGGACUGCAUGGAGAAUGUGGGCACAAAGAUGGACGUCUUUACUGCCCCCGUGGCUCCGGAUACCGAGAGAGAGGAGGCCCCGAGGCCGCAGUCACGGCUGGAAACCACGGGGCCACCCGGCCGCCAGCACCCGCUCCUGCCACAGCUUCAGCACUGAAUAAUAUUUCAUUGUCGGGAUGGACCACAGUUUAUUUACCCAUUUACCUACUGAGAGACGUCUUGGUUGGCUCCUAGCUUUGAGAAUUGUGAAUGAAGCUGCUGUAAAUAUCCUUGUGUAUGAACAUAGUUUUCGACUCUUUGGGAUAAAUACCAUGGGGCACGAUUGCUGAAUUCUAUACUGAGUGUGUUUAGGUUUAUAGGAAACCACCAAACUGUCUUCCAAAGCGGCUGCACCAUCUGCGUUCCCACCAGCAGGGAUGAGGGUUCCUGUUGCUCCACAGCCUCGCCAGCAUUUGAUGUUGUCUGUGUUCUGGACGUCCUAAGAGGGCUUGGGGAGCCAACUCCUACCUGCUCCACAGUCGGAAGCAGGUCUCAGAGGAGCCGCGGCCCACGAGGUGUCACCCUGCUCUUCCAUCGUUUCAUUGUUUGCCUCUGUCUCUGGGGUGGACCAGGGCUUCUGUGGCCGACUGAGCAGCUGACAGACAUCUAUUUACUUUGGCAGAAAGGAUUUUUCAGGAAAUGAGAAGUGGACGAGGUUGUUUAGUCUUGUCCUGCUGGCUCUGGGAAAGGCCAGGGUGCUGGGCUGCAAAGCGGGGGUCAGGAGCAGACAGGAAGGGAGCUCCCCGGUGUGGGGGUCCUCAUCCUGCGCAGGACCCCGUCUCUCGCCCCAGGGCACUCAGCCAGCUCCACCUGCGCCGACACACCCUGGAAGCCGAUGGUCUGGCCACUUUCAGCAUCUGAAGCAGAUGGAGCACGGGCUGCCCCGCCUGCCCCGCUGCGCCCUGCACACCUGUGUUCUGUCACUCAGCCUGGACCGUCCCCUCAGCCACCUCCUCCUGCGGACACGCUGAAGUGAUGAGUUCAGGCUGUGAGAACGUUGGAAGAUGCUGACCACCAUGGAAGUGAACUGAACCCACCCCACGUGUUCCCGCAAAACCUGCGCGAAUUACAGAGAGGAACCACCUUUCCAGGGCCAUGGUCCCAGGUGGCCAGGGCUGCCGCCCCAGGAGUGACAUGGGGACACAGCCACAGCCCGUGGACAGGACAGGAUACACCCAGAUGAGCUGCUACCCCAGGGUUAGCCCAGGUCUGGGAAGUGUCAGAAAACCCAAAUUGGGGACUUUUCACUCUUCAGCAAUGUCACAGUCAUGGGAGCCCAGGGAGGACUGGGGACGUUCCUGACUGAGGGAGGACAGAGACACGGUCACCGGGCGCACGUGAACCCAGGGUGGGUUGUCACGCUGUAAACGACGCUACCGGGACAAUUAGCAAAACAGAAAUGGGUCUCUGGGUGAAGGAGAAUUUGGUACUAUUCUUGCAACUUUUCAAUAUGUUUGACAUUGCUUCGAAAUAAAAAUAAAAAUCUGAAGA